CGUUGAAACACCGAUUCCCGUCCGUUCAUUGAAAUUAAGCAACGUCAAGUCUUAUCAGUACCUGGAUGGGUGACCGCUUGGGAAUACCAAAUACUGUAA
Molecule: non-coding RNA, 99 nt
Organism: Acanthosepion pharaonis
Lineage: Eukaryota; Metazoa; Mollusca; Cephalopoda; Sepiida; Sepiidae
Source: the annotation of a GenBank genome assembly